Molecule: long non-coding RNA, 304 nt
Filed under: Rhinopithecus roxellana (golden snub-nosed monkey)
Lineage: Eukaryota; Metazoa; Chordata; Mammalia; Primates; Cercopithecidae
Description: lncRNA (ENSRROG00000045842.1)
Source: RNAcentral
CCCAGCCCCCACCCUCGGCUGCUGCCCGAGCUUCCUCCACACGCCGUGCAGUCUCCACGGCGACGCGGCGUCCCAGACUCGGAGCCCAGAGCCCCGCGCGAGCAGCUAGCCGGGCUGGCUCUCGGUGUCUGCCCUUCGGAUGGUCGGCUGGAGAGAGCCGCCAGCUGGACUUCUGUAGACAAGACAGAUACUGUAAAGAAAAAGUGACGAGUGAAUCAAAUGAAGCAAUGUCAGAGUAAGAAAAUGUCUUUGAUUGUGCAGCUGAUUUCUCCCAUGCCUUUUAAGCAAUUAGAACUAGAUAAUG